AAGAGUUUGAUCCUGGCUCAGAUUGAACGCUGGCGGCAUGCCUUACACAUGCAAGUCGAACGGUAACGCGGGGCAACCUGGCGACGAGUGGCGAACGGGUGAGUAACACAUCGGAACGUGCCCAGUAGUGGGGGAUAGCCCGGCGAAAGCCGGAUUAAUACCGCAUACGACCUAAGGGUAAAAGCAGGGGAUCGCAAGACCUUGCGCUAUUGGAGCGGCCGAUGUCAGAUUAGGUAGUUGGUGGGGUAAAAGCCUACCAAGCCGACGAUCUGUAGCUGGUCUGAGAGGACGACCAGCCACACUGGGACUGAGACACGGCCCAGACUCCUACGGGAGGCAGCAGUGGGGAAUUUUGGACAAUGGGCGCAAGCCUGAUCCAGCCAUGCCGCGUGCGGGAAGAAGGCCUUCGGGUUGUAAACCGCUUUUGUCAGGGAAGAAACGGUCUGGGUUAAUACCCUGGGCUAAUGACGGUACCUGAAGAAUAAGCACCGGCUAACUACGUG
RNAcentral lists this ribosomal RNA (503 nucleotides) under uncultured bacterium. RNAcentral describes it as "bacterial SSU rRNA". It matches the Rfam family "Bacterial small subunit ribosomal RNA", at positions 1 to 507 of the family's 1533-position model. The record is from RNAcentral.